Molecule: regulatory RNA element, 119 nt
Organism: Sporolactobacillus laevolacticus DSM 442
Lineage: Bacteria; Bacillati; Bacillota; Bacilli; Caryophanales; Sporolactobacillaceae
Rfam family: Ribosomal protein L20 leader
About the family: This family is a putative r-protein leader autoregulatory structure found in B. subtilis and other low-GC Gram-positive bacteria. It is located in the 5' untranslated regions of mRNAs encoding initiation factor 3 followed by ribosomal proteins L35 and L20 (infC-rpmI-rplT).
Source: Rfam
CGAGUAAAGCAGAGGCGCCCGGCUUCUCACCUGUUCGACGCAGAAAUGCUGUUGCCAGGUAUGGAUUAUGGACUGAAUGGUUAAUGCGGGCGUUUUUACGCCCGUAUUUUUGUUUGCUC